This 200-nucleotide ribosomal RNA is filed under the name uncultured Glomus. RNAcentral describes it as "partial small subunit ribosomal RNA". It matches the Rfam family "Eukaryotic small subunit ribosomal RNA", at positions 591 to 796 of the family's 1831-position model. Lineage: Eukaryota; Fungi; Glomeromycota; Glomeromycetes; Glomerales; Glomeraceae. The record is from RNAcentral.
CCAAUAGCGUAUAUUAAAGUUGUUGCAGUUAAAAAGCUCGUAGUUGAAUUUCGGGGUUAGUAGGUUGGUCAUGCCUCUGGUAUGUACUGGUCUCACUGAUUCCUCCUUCCUUAUGAACCGUAAUGCCAUUAAUUUGGUGUUGCGGGGAAUUUGGACUGUUACUUUGAAAAAAUUAGAGUGUUUAAAGCAGGCUAACGCUU